UACGUAGGGGGCGAGCGUUGCCCGGAUUCACUGGGCGUAAAGCGCGUGUAGGCGGUCUGUUAAGUCGGGUGUGAAAUCUCCGGGCCCAACCCGGAAAUUGCAUCCGAUACUGGCAGACUUGAGGACGGUAGAGGUUGGUGGAAUAGCCGGUGUACCGGUGAAAUGGGCAGAUAUCGGCUAGAACACCAGUGGCGAAGGCGGCCAACUGGGCCGUUCCUGACGCUGAGACGCGAAAGCCAGGGGAGCGAACCGG
Molecule: non-coding RNA, 253 nt
Filed under: uncultured bacterium
Lineage: Bacteria
Also listed under: 2 other names
Description: partial 16S ribosomal RNA
Rfam family: Bacterial small subunit ribosomal RNA
Source: RNAcentral